Molecule: ribosomal RNA, 403 nt
Filed under: Fusobacteriota bacterium
Lineage: Bacteria; Fusobacteriati; Fusobacteriota
Description: Fusobacteria bacterium partial 16S ribosomal RNA
Rfam family: Bacterial small subunit ribosomal RNA
Source: RNAcentral
UGGGGAAUCUUGCACAAUGGGGGCAACCCUGAUGCAGCGACGCCGCGUGAGCGAUGAAGGUUUUCGAAUCGUAAAGCUCUGUCCUAUGGGAAGAUAAUGACGGUACCAUAGGAGGAAGCCCCGGCUAACUACGUGCCAGCAGCCGCGGUAAUACGUAGGGGGCGAGCGUUGUCCGGAAUUACUGGGCGUAAAGGGUUCGCAGGCGGCAUGGCAAGUCCGAUGUAAAAGGCGAAGGCUCAACCUUCGUAAGCAUCGGAAACUGUCAAGCUUGAGUGAAGGAGAGGCAAGUGGAAUUCCUAGUGUAGCGGUGGAAUGCGUAGAUAUUAGGAGGAAUACCGGUGGCGAAGGCGACUUGCUGGACUUCAACUGACGCUGAGGAACGAGAGCGUGGGUAGCAAACAGG